CCUACGGGCGGCUGCAGUGGGGAAUAUUGGACAAUGGGGGGAACCCUGAUCCAGCCAUGCCGCGUGUGUGAAGAAGGCCCUCGGGUUGUAAAGCACUUUCAGUGAGGAAGAACGCCUGGUGGUUAAUACCCAUCAGGAAAGACAUCACUCACAGAAGAAGCACCGGCUAACUCCGUGCCAGCAGCCGCGGUAAUACGGAGGGUGCGAGCGUUAAUCGGAAUUACUGGGCGUAAAGCGCGCGUAGGUGGCUUGAUAAGCCGGUUGUGAAAGCCCCGGGCUCAACCUGGGAACGGCAUCCGGAACUGUCAAGCUAGAGUGCAGUAGAGGAAGGUAGAAUUCCCGGUGUAGCGGUGAAAUGCGUAGAGAUCGGGAGGAAUACCAGUGGCGAAGGCGGCCUUCUGGUCUGACACUGACACUGAGGUGCGAAAGCGUGGGUAGCAAACAGGAUUAGAUACCCCAGUAGUC
RNAcentral lists this ribosomal RNA (465 nucleotides) under Vreelandella stevensii. RNAcentral's name for it is "partial 16S ribosomal RNA". It matches the Rfam family "Bacterial small subunit ribosomal RNA", at positions 338 to 795 of the family's 1533-position model. The record is from RNAcentral. Lineage: Bacteria; Pseudomonadati; Pseudomonadota; Gammaproteobacteria; Oceanospirillales; Halomonadaceae.